AGAAUCAACGCUGGCGGCGUGCCUAACACAUGCAAGUCGAACGAGAAAGUGGAGCAAUCCAUGAGUAAAGUGGCGACCGGGUGAGUAACACGUGACUAACCUACCUUCGAGUGGGGGAUAACCUCGGGAAACCGGGCUAAUACCGCAUAAAAUCUUUGGAUCGGAAGAACUGGAGAUCGAAUGGAGCAAUUCGCUUGAAGAGGGGGUCGCGGCUGAUUAGCUAGUUGGCGGGGUAAUGGCCCACAAGGCGAUGAUCGGUA
Molecule: ribosomal RNA, 260 nt
Filed under: uncultured bacterium
Lineage: Bacteria
Description: partial small subunit ribosomal RNA
Rfam family: Bacterial small subunit ribosomal RNA
Source: RNAcentral